RNAcentral lists this ribosomal RNA (496 nucleotides) under uncultured bacterium. RNAcentral describes it as "partial 16S ribosomal RNA". It matches the Rfam family "Bacterial small subunit ribosomal RNA", at positions 28 to 506 of the family's 1533-position model. The record is from RNAcentral.
GAUGAACGCUGGCGGCGUGCCUAAUACAUGCAAGUCGAGCGAACAGACGAGGAGCUUGCUCCUCUGACGUUAGCGGCGGACGGGUGAGUAACACGUGGAUAACCUACCUAUAAGACUGGGAUAACUUCGGGAAACCGGAGCUAAUACCGGAUAAUAUAUUGAACCGCAUGGUUCAAUAGUGAAAGACGGUUUUGCUGUCACUUAUAGAUGGAUCCGCGCCGCAUUAGCUAGUUGGUAAGGUAACGGCUUACCAAGGCAACGAUGCGUAGCCGACCUGAGAGGGGGACCGCCCCAACGGAAAGUGAGACACGUUCCAGAUCCCGAGGGGAGGAAGAAGGGGGGAGUUUUCCGAAAGGGGGGAAAGCCUGAGGGACCACCGCCGGGGGGGUGAUGAAGUUUUUGGAAUCAAAAAACGUUUUUAUGGGGAAAAAACAAAUGGGAAAGAAAAGAGGCGCGUCUGGACGGUACUAAAAGAAAAAGCCGCGCCUAACUACGU